Molecule: ribosomal RNA, 935 nt
Filed under: uncultured archaeon
Lineage: Archaea
Description: bacterial SSU rRNA
Rfam family: Archaeal small subunit ribosomal RNA
Source: RNAcentral
CCGGUUGAUCCCGCCGGACCCGACUGCUAUCCGGGUAGGACUAAGCCAUGCAAGUUGAAUGAAAUACCUAAAUUUUCCAUGGCGUACCACUCAGUAACACGUGAUCAACUUACCCUAAGGAGGAGUAUAACCUCGGGAAACUGAGGAUAAUGCACCAUAUUUGAAAUUGCCUGGAAUGGUUUUUCAAAAAAAGAGUAGUCCGAAUGGGGACUAUUUCACCUUAGGAUAGGAUCGCGCCCGAUUAUGGCUGUUGGUGAGGUAACGGCUCACCAAACCUAUUAUCGGUAAGGGCCGUGAGAGCGGGAGCCCUGAGUUGGGUACUGAGACAAUGACCCAGGUCUUACGAGACGCAGCAGGCGCGAAAUCUUGACAAUACACGAAAGUGUGAUCAGGUUACCCGGAGUGCUACAAUGUAGCUGUGGCAAGUGAGUUAGAUUCCUUGCUAGGAAGGAGAGGGCAAGGCUGGUGCCAGCCGCCGCGGUAAAACCAGCUCUUCAAGUGGUCGGGAUUAUUAUUGGGCUUAAAGUGUCCGUAGCCGGUAUAGUAAGUUCCUGGUUAAAUCGGAUAGCUUAACUAUCUGUUGGCUAGGAAUACUGCCAUACUAGGGGGCGGGAGAGGUCUGAGGUACUCCAGGGGUAGGGGUGAAAUCCUAUAAUCCUUGGGGGACCACCAGUGGCGAAGGCGUCAGACUGGAACGCGCCCGACGGUGAGGGACGAAAGCCAGGGGAGCGAACCGGAUUAGAUACCCGGGUAGUCCUGGCUGUAAACGAUGCGUGCUAGGUGUUGGUAUGGCCUUGAGCCGUAUCAGUGCCGUAGGGAAACCGAUAAGCGCGCCGCCUGGGGAGUACGGUCGCAAGACUGAAACUUAAAGGAAUUGGCGGGCGAGCACCACAAGGGGUGAAGCCUGCGGUUCAAUUGGAGUCAACGCCGGGAAU